CCUACAUACAGAAAAUCCUAAAUAACCUUCAAAAAGUCUAUCAGAGCUAAUAAACCUGCAAAGUGAGUAAGAAGAGUGCUUUUUAAGUAUGUGUGAAUUUUGAGUGAAUGUGGCGUAAGAUGAAAACGACGACUCUCACCUUUCUAAACUCUAUGUGUUGGUGACUGUGCUAAAUUUAAUCCUACAUCUCCAUCAUGAAGUAGAUAUUAGUGUCCCAAAUUUUGGGCUUCACAGGUGGCACUAGUGGUAAAGAAUCCACCUGUUAAUGCAGGAGACAUAAGAGACAUGGUUUGAUCUCUGGGUCAGGAAGAUCCCCUGGAGGAGGGCAUGGCAACUCACUCCAGUAUUCUUGCCUGAAGAAUCUCUAUGGACAGAAGAGUCUGGUGGGCUACAGUCCAUAGGGUUGCAAAGAGUCAGAUAUGACUGAAGCAACUUAGCACACACACAUUCCCAUUUCACCUUUAAAAACCAGGCUGCAACUCAACUGAUGGUAACUCUUCAAAGCUUGUCUUACCUAUUAUGUUUAUUAUGUUAUAUGGUCUUGAGAUGUCCUUUCUGUGAAUGAAUUAAAGUUCUAGUUAUAAAAUUCAUGAAAUGUUUGAAUAAAUUUCGCAAAAAGCCAACACCCUGUCCUAAACUCUAUUCCUCUUGAAAUGAAAACUGAGACAAAUAGAAACAAAUUACAGAGCUAACUUUUUAGAUAUACAAAAACUGGUUUCAGAAAACAAUGCUUUUUUUUUUUAAUGAAAUCUUGAAGCAUAGCAAAGUUAAUAAAAAAUGGACUUGACUCUCUUGGUACAUUCAGAGUUUAAAAUUCACAGAGUUGCUCCUGUUUUUACACAGAAUCUGGAGAUGUUAAAUUUUUUGUUUUGGCUUCUAGAUGUCCUUUAUGUGUACCCUGUGGAAUCCAGUUCAUCUCCAAUCUGUCAGAUAGCAUCAGAAGUGGUUUUGAGUCCUUAUGUCCUGAGCCUGUGAACAAAAUGUACCUUGUGUGGAGGAAAAUGAGAUCCCGAGUGAAGUCUACAAUGUCAUUGACUCUGAAGAAGGACUCAGAGACCCAUUGGUGUUUAAUGACCCUUACUGGCCUAUGCAAUGGGAACUGGUUACUAAAUACCAAGCUCCUCUAUACUGAGGUCAAGGAUUUCAGGAGACACAGGAUGAAAAGUAGACAGAAGGUAAGUGAUAUAGGAAAAAAACAGAACUGAGUAUCAGUCAAUAAAGUGACUGAUUAGAAAUGGGGACUAGUCUUAAAGACUUAAACAAUUGAGUCACCUUGAAAUCAGAUGAAAUUGAGCAAGUAAAGGAUUGAGCAGAGCUAGAAGGAUAACUGUACCAUUUUCUAGGGAAGAAGUUGAUAGAUUCUCACUGCAAAUGACCAGGUAGUAAAUAUUUUCAGGUUUGUGGACCAUAUAAAUCUCUGUAGCAUAUUUUUGAUAUUGUCAUUCCAGUCCUUUAAAAUUGUAAAAAUCUUUCUCAGUUUUAGUCAUAGAACAGGCUGUAAGUUGGAUUUAACUUGCAGGCCAUAGUUUAUUGACAUCUGUAUAAAGUAAAGGAAAAAAGAGUUAAAGAGUAAAUAGCUGUUCAGAUUUAGCCAUAUUGCUCUUUUUUUCCAUUGACAUAUAGUUGAUUUUCAAUGUUGUGUUAUUUUCUGCUGUGCAGCAAAGUAUCAGAUAUAUAUACACAUAUAUAUAUUCUUUUUCAUAUUCUUUUACAUUUUGGUUUAUCACAGGAUAUUGAAUAUAGUUGCCUGUACCACACAGUAAGACCUUGUUGUUUAUCUAUUCUCUGUUACGAUUGUUUGCAGAGUUAGUUAUCUCUUUUAACACCCAGUUGCUGUGGUGUCUGUGUAUACAUUACAGCAGCAAACUCAGCAAUGAAAAGUCAAGCAGGCUAUACUGAUGUCAACGGCCUAGAUUAUUAUUACAUUCUGGUAGUAAUGACAACCCACUCCAAUAUUCUUGUUUGGAAAGUCCCAUGGACAGAGGAGCCUGAUGGGCUACAGCCUAUGAGGUCACAAAGAGUUGGACACAACUGAGUGAACAACAGCAAGCACCAUUCUAGAGGCAUGUCUUUCCAGUAUUGGAGAAGAUGGUUCCUAAUGUCAAGGUGAGUCACAGUACAAAAUUGAAAGGGAAGAACUGCAGUUUCCAGUUGAAGUUCUGAUGUUAUUCAUAACAGCAGAGCUAAAUUGUGUUACAAAUUCCAUCCACUGAUGAGGACACCAAACUUAUUUUGCUGGAAGAUUGAAUGGUGUAGGUGUGCUUUCUUCAGAACCAAGCAUCCUAAAAUAGGAGCCUAUUCUUUAUUUUUGUGCCCAUCUACUCCUCAGCCAACAAUUUGUAGCAAUCUGGUUUUGUGAUGCCCUCCCAUUUGCCCUUGUGAUCUUACCCCAUCUUCAGGCCUUCCACUUAACUUCCC
Molecule: long non-coding RNA, 2418 nt
Filed under: Capra hircus (goat)
Lineage: Eukaryota; Metazoa; Chordata; Mammalia; Artiodactyla; Bovidae
Description: lncRNA (ENSCHIG00000002698.1)
Source: RNAcentral